GUGGAGAUGCAGAUUGUAGCAAAAUCCAAGUGAACCAACCAUGCUAUUAUCAAAACACUUUGAAAGACCAUGCUUCCUAUGCCUUCAACAGCUACUUUCAGAAGUUCAAGCACAGAGGUGGUUCUUGUUUCUUCCGAGUUCUAAAUUAAACUGAUUCUAGAUAACAUAUACAUUAUACAAUAUUAUAAUAAUGCUUUUUAAGUAGAACAUAUGCAUGUUCACAUUGGCACAGAAUGCAAAAGCAGAUCUAGAAGAAUAGAAGGCCAUGUGACAUUGUAAAAAGUUUAGGAAUAUUAAAAUUACUAAAUGCUUAGUUAUAUAUAACAUGUAUGCCAUCAAAAGGAGGAAAAGGCAAAUUAACUUGGCAAACAAGUCAAGGAAUCAAUCCAAGCUAGUAACUGUUACUCCCUCCAUUGUUAGUUAAAGUGGUAUAUUAAAAUAACUGAUGAAUCACGAAACAAUUUGUCUCUAGAUAUAUUGGUUUUUUCAUGUUCCACUUUGUUCAAAUAAACUACUAUUUCAGAACAAAGUAUAAGGAGUCCUUCUAUUGAGAAAUUUGUGUAGAUGACAACACAAUAAUAUAGAUCCUUUGAUUGCAGGUCAUGGUUCUUGCCACUUUGACUUCAUUCCCUAAUUGGAACUGUCACUGAAGACUCAAAAAUAGCUGCAGCAGAAUCUACAGCUUAGAUUUUAUUUUUUCCUUUCUUUUUAUUGAGGCUGUGUAAUCCCCAUCAAACAUUGUGCUCUUGCCUCUAUUUUUAAUUAAUUGAGUUUAAUCUCAGUCUAAGACUGAGAAAGUUAUUAAAUCUUAUGCAGAUUAGUGUCCAAUCUCAAAGAGCUUAAUGAUAUGCUGCAAAAUAACAUUUGAGAUUUCAUA
Non-coding RNA from Arachis ipaensis, 877 nucleotides. The record is from RefSeq and is a predicted model, not a curated record. Lineage: Eukaryota; Viridiplantae; Streptophyta; Magnoliopsida; Fabales; Fabaceae.